This 31-nucleotide non-coding RNA is filed under the name Rattus norvegicus (Norway rat). The record is from RNAcentral. Lineage: Eukaryota; Metazoa; Chordata; Mammalia; Rodentia; Muridae.
UGUGUUGCCGCUUCGGUGGGGCUAACGCCAU